CGAUGAGGGGCCUCACGGUGGUGAAGAGCUUCCACCAGGGCCAGUCCUUCACCCCUUUGUUCUUCUUGAUGUUCUUCUGCACGCAGCGGAUGGCCAAAUCCUGGAUCUUCCUCUUCUUGAAGUGCUGCCGUGCCAGGAAGCCCCUGCACGCCGCCUGGAACAGGGUGAUGUUCCUGCUGGUCUGCGUGUCCCGCUGCUCCUCCAGCCUGGCCAGUGAGCCAGCACGGAAAAACACCCGGCUCAGACCCAUGUGAUAGCUGCUCUUCUCCAGGUCCAGCGACUCCAGGAGUUCCUCGACUGCCCGCUUCUCAUCCACCACGAUGUAGUUGCGGCCAUGCUUCUUGGUGAGGUGUGGGGCCAGCACGUCAAAGCGCCGCCGGAACUCGGCAAACACCAUAUGGUCAGGAUAGCCUUGGCGGUACAUGCGGAGGGCGUCGAGCAGGCGGGAGCCACGGAGCUGUGCGCGCAGCAGGGGCACAUCCAGCUGCAUCAGCCCUGCGGGCUCGCAGUGCUCGGCCGGCAGCUCCAGCUCACUGCCG
RNAcentral lists this long non-coding RNA (539 nucleotides) under Gallus gallus (chicken). The record is from RNAcentral. Lineage: Eukaryota; Metazoa; Chordata; Aves; Galliformes; Phasianidae.